GGCAUGAGUUUGAUGAAUUUUAAUGGUUUUAGAUUGAUCAUUUAUUGCUUAUUAUACGACAAUCAUCAUGUCAUAUUUUUGCUUUUUUUUUAACUGUUAAUAAAUAAUUGGGAACAAUGAUCAAAGAGAAAUGAAUGAAGUGAAAAUAUAAGUGCAAAAGAGUAUUCAUUUAUAAAUUUGCAGUUAUAAAACUAUUGCUGUUUAAAUCAGUCCAAUACUCACAAUCGCUAACAGUAAAUAUUCAUUCAUUCAUUAUUUAUUAUUCGUAGUUAUCAUUCAAUAUUCACCAUUUCAUUUUUAGAAGUAAUUGCAAUGGUAUCGAUUUUCAACUUAUGAACCUUUUGAGUCUUAACUAAAUAAUAGUUACUGAUAUUCAAUUAUUAUUCACUGAUUGAAAUAAUGCCAAGUAUACCACCACCAAUUAGUGGAUAAUUACUGAAAGUUUUAGUCAAAUUUUAACUUGUUGUUAUACAUCAAAUAAAUUUUGAACCACUCCUAUUGUUAAACUUAUUAUUAAUACUCUAGACAUGAACAUCAGUGAAAUUUGACUAAACUUGAUAAUUAGUAAAAUUAUAAUACAUUUAAAAAAGCAAAGUAUUCAAUAAUUUUAUCCACUCUUUAAU
Long non-coding RNA from Chelonus insularis, 623 nucleotides. RefSeq lists it as uncharacterized. The record is from RefSeq and is a predicted model, not a curated record. NCBI's taxonomy places the organism in Eukaryota, Metazoa, Arthropoda, Insecta, Hymenoptera, Braconidae. The transcript has 3 exons.